UGGCGGACGGGUGAGUAACGCGUGGGUAACCUGCCUUAUACCGGGGGAUAACAGCCAGAAAUGACUGCUAAUACCGCAUAAGCGCACAGAACCGCAUGGUUCCGUGUGAAAAACUCCGGUGGUAUAAGAUGGACCCGCGUUGGAUUAGCUAGUUGGCAGGGCAGCGGCCUACCAAGGCGACGAUCCAUAGCCGGCCUGAGAGGGUGAACGGCCACAUUGGGACUGAGACACGGCCCAGACUCCUACGGGAGGCAGCAUG
Molecule: ribosomal RNA, 259 nt
Filed under: uncultured bacterium
Lineage: Bacteria
Description: partial 16S ribosomal RNA
Rfam family: Bacterial small subunit ribosomal RNA
Source: RNAcentral